Molecule: ribosomal RNA, 253 nt
Filed under: uncultured bacterium
Lineage: Bacteria
Description: partial 16S ribosomal RNA
Rfam family: Bacterial small subunit ribosomal RNA
Source: RNAcentral
UACGAAGGGGGCUAGCGUUGCUCGGAAUUACUGGGCGUAAAGCGCACGUAGGCGGCUUUCUAAGUCGGACGUGAAAUCCCUCAGCUUAACUGGGGAACUGCGUCCGAUACUGGAUGGCUUGAGUUUGGGAGAGGGAUGCGGAAUUCCAGGUGUAGCGGUGAAAUGCGUAGAUAUCUGGAGGAACACCGGUGGCGAAGGCGGCACCCUGGACCAACACUGACACUGAGGAGCGAAAGCCAGGGGAGCAAACGGG